This 72-nucleotide transfer RNA is filed under the name Bos taurus (domestic cattle). It matches the Rfam family "tRNA". From Rfam's summary of the family: Transfer RNA (tRNA) molecules are approximately 80 nucleotides in length. Lineage: Eukaryota; Metazoa; Chordata; Mammalia; Artiodactyla; Bovidae. The record is from Rfam by way of RNAcentral. RNAcentral also lists the same sequence under 4 other names.
UCCCUUGUAGCUCAGUCGGUAAAGAAUCUGCCUGCAGUGCAGGAGACCUAGGUUCGAUCCCUGGGUUGGGAA